GGUGCAAGCGUUAUCGGAAUUACUGGGCGUAAAGCGUGCGUAGGUGGUUAAUUAAGUUAUCUGUGAAAUCCCUGGGCUCAACCUGGGCAGGUCAGAUAAUACUGGUUAACUCGAGUAUGGGAGAGGGUAGUGGAAUUUCCGGUGUAGCGGUGAAAUGCGUAGAGAUUGGAAGGAACACCAGUGGCGAAGGCGGCUCCCUGGACUCAAACUGACGCUGAGGUACGAAAGCGUGGGUAGCAAACAGGAUUAGAUACCCUGGUAGUCCACGCCGUAAACGAUGUCAACUAACUGUUGGGUUCUUUAAGAACUUAGUAGUGGAGCUAACGUAUUAAGUUGACCGCCUGGGGAGUACGGCCGCAAGGCUAAAACUCAAAUGAAUUGACGGGGGCCCGCACAAGCGGUGGAGCAUGUGGUUUAAUUCGAUGCAACGCGAAGAACCUUACCUACCCUUGACAUCCUCGGAACUUGUCAGAGAUGACUUGGUGCCUUCGGGAACCGAGAGACAGGUGCUGCAUGGCUGUCGUCAGCUCGUGUUGUGAAAUGUUGGGUUAAGUCCCGUAACGAGCGCAACCCUUAUCUUUAGUUGCCAGCGAGUAAUGUCGGGAACUCUAGGGAGACUGCCGGUGAUAAACCGGAGGAAGGUGGGGACGACGUCAAGUCAUCAUGGCCCUUAUGGGUAGGGCUACACACGUGCUACAAUGGCCGGUACAGAGGGCAGCGAAGCCGUGAGGUCAAGCAAAUCCCACAAAGCCGGUCCCAGUCCGGAUUGCAGUCUGCAACUCGACUGCAUGAAGUCGGAAUCGCUAGUAAUCGCGGAUCAGAAUGCCGC
This 829-nucleotide ribosomal RNA is filed under the name uncultured bacterium. Its description in RNAcentral is "bacterial SSU rRNA". It matches the Rfam family "Bacterial small subunit ribosomal RNA", at positions 531 to 1360 of the family's 1533-position model. The record is from RNAcentral.